AUACCCCAGGUCAGGCGGGGCUACCCGCCGAGUUUAAGCAUAUAAAUAAGCGGAGGAGAAGAAACUUACAAGGAUUCCC
This 79-nucleotide ribosomal RNA is filed under the name Carex pseudocyperus. RNAcentral describes it as "partial 28S ribosomal RNA". It matches the Rfam family "Eukaryotic large subunit ribosomal RNA", at positions 1 to 79 of the family's 3401-position model. The record is from RNAcentral. RNAcentral also lists the same sequence under 11 other names. Lineage: Eukaryota; Viridiplantae; Streptophyta; Magnoliopsida; Poales; Cyperaceae.